CAGCAGUCGCGCGGGAAUACGAAGGGUGCAAGCGUUACUCGGAAUUACUGGGCGUAAAGCGUGCGUAGGUGGUGGUUUAAGUCCGUUGUGAAAGCCCUGGGCUCAACCUGGGAAUUGCAGUGGAUACUGGGUCACUAGAGUGUGGUAGAGGAUAGUGGAAUUUCCGGUGUAGCAGUGAGAUGCGUAGAGAUCGGAAGGAACAUCUGUGGCGAAGGCGACUAUCUGGGCCAACACUGACACUGAGGCACGAAAGCGUGGGGAGCAAACAGGAUUAGAUACCCCCGUAGUCCCUGUCUCUUAUACC
This 304-nucleotide ribosomal RNA is filed under the name uncultured bacterium. RNAcentral describes it as "partial 16S ribosomal RNA". It matches the Rfam family "Bacterial small subunit ribosomal RNA", at positions 509 to 808 of the family's 1533-position model. The record is from RNAcentral.